Molecule: non-coding RNA, 692 nt
Organism: Schizosaccharomyces pombe (fission yeast)
Lineage: Eukaryota; Fungi; Ascomycota; Schizosaccharomycetes; Schizosaccharomycetales; Schizosaccharomycetaceae
Source: the annotation of a GenBank genome assembly
UGUAUUCUAUUCUAUUUUUUCUGCAUCAUUAAGAUAUGGUUUUAUGUACCAUGUCGGUAAUUUUCGUAGGAAAUAAAAAUGAGGUUCAAAAACGGCAUUCAACCUAAAUGUCAAAUCUGAUCUUCAGAAUCUAAAAAGUUUGGAUUAUUUGAUAACUUGUUUAAAAAUUUUGCAUGCCAAUCCUGAAAAACUCGAAGUGGUAUGAAUGUAUCAUUGGGCCGCAGGUCACCUAACCCAAUGGAGUUGGGAGGAAGUUGAGAUGUCGCAAAGCUUGCUAGGAAAUUAUAUAAGUUGGUUAAAAUUUUUUGGGCAACAGAAGUUACGGGAGGUAAGGGUUUGGCGAUGACAUUCGAUGCUGAAGUGCUUACAGCUGGUGUUUCUGUGAAAUUGGUCAAAGGCUCUACACUAAUACCUAACAUGGCAGUAAUUCCAACGCAAUUUUCAUUUUCCGAAAGAGUUUGUAUGGUGUUUUUUAAACGGAAAAUUGCACUAGGCUUUUCGUUUGUCAAAUAACCUAAAAAUUGAAAAGGCUUUCCAGGCCAUUGAAAGUAAACCUUAGCACCCAUUCCGACUGGGAAUGGAGAGUUUGGCAAAAGAAAAACCACAAUGUGAUUCAAGCUUUCCGCAGAGUCUAGUUGGAAGACAAAUUGAUUAUCGGCGACUUGUUGCAAAUUCGUUUGCACUAGAUUGUG